AUGCUUAGGCAAUGGCUCAACAAUGUCCCGAUAUUCCCGGUCGGGCCGCUGCUCCGGGCAGCAAGAUCGGCAUUGCCGGAGAAGGCGACAACGAGUAGCCCCAUCUUGGCUUGGCUCGGCAAGCAACCGCCAGGCUCGGUGCUGUACGUGUCGUUCGGGUCGCUGUACAUGAUCUCCGCGUCGCAGGUUGAGAUCCUGGCGCACCCGGCCACGGGCGCCUUCCUGACGCACUGCGGGUGGAACUCGGCACAGGAAAGCCUCGCCGGGGGCGUGCCGAUGGUGGGGUGGCCGCUCUUGGCGGAGCAGUUCUACAACGCCAAGUUGCUGUCGGAGGAGAUGGGUGUGUGCGUUCAGCUGGCGCGCGGCGCCAUGGCGGCCGUGACGAGGGACGAGGUGGCGGAGGCGGUGGAGAGGGUGCUCGGCGAGACGUCCGGAAUCAAGCUGUAUAUGAUACUUGAGCUGAGGUUCAUAAUUCGGGGGCAAGUGAGUGUAAAAUGGCUGCACCGGCUUCACCCUAGGGUCAGAGAUGGCGAGGCAUAA
RNAcentral lists this ribosomal RNA (540 nucleotides) under Triticum aestivum (bread wheat). RNAcentral's name for it is "partial small subunit ribosomal RNA". The record is from RNAcentral. Lineage: Eukaryota; Viridiplantae; Streptophyta; Magnoliopsida; Poales; Poaceae.